RNAcentral lists this ribosomal RNA (372 nucleotides) under uncultured organism. RNAcentral describes it as "partial 16S ribosomal RNA". It matches the Rfam family "Bacterial small subunit ribosomal RNA", at positions 527 to 896 of the family's 1533-position model. The record is from RNAcentral.
GGAGGGAGCGAGCGUUGUUCGGAAUCACUGGGCGUAAAGGGCGCGUAGGCGGCCGAGCAAGUCGUGUGUGAAAGACCGGGGCUCAACUCCGUGUACUGCAUGCGAUACUGCCCGGCUGGAGAAAGGUAGAGGCGAGUGGAAUUCCCGGUGUAGCGGUGGAAUGCGUAGAUAUCGGGAAGAACACCUGUGGCGAAGGCGGCUCGCUGGGCCUUUUCUGACGCUGAAGUGCGAAAGCGUGGGGAGCAAACAGGAUUAGAUACCCUGGUAGUCCACGCCGUAAACGAUGGGCACUAGGCGUUGGGAGGAUUGACCCUCUCAGUGCCGUAGCUAACGCGUUAAGUGCCCCCGCCUGGGGAUACGGCCGCAAGGCUG